RNAcentral lists this small RNA (289 nucleotides) under Pongo abelii (Sumatran orangutan). Its description in RNAcentral is "retained intron". Lineage: Eukaryota; Metazoa; Chordata; Mammalia; Primates; Hominidae. The record is from RNAcentral.
GUGUGUUUGAAGGGAACGGCCCUUGAUGAGACAUCUGUCCAUACUUGUUAGGUGGUUUCAUGGCCCCCUGAACAGGGCGGAUGCGGAGAGCCUCCUGUCCCUCUGCAAGGAAGGCAGCUACCUAGUGCGGCUCAGCGAGACCAGCCCCCAGGACUGCUCCUUGUCUCUCAGGAGCAGCCAGGGCUUCCUGCAUCUGAAGUUCGCGCGGACCCGAGAGAACCAGGUGGUGCUGGGUCAACACAGCGGGCCCUUCCCCAGCGUGCCCGAGCUCGUCCUCCACUACAGUUCA